GUGUCUUCUGAACUAGGCCAGUAGGAUGUGUCCAGACUCGUCCCUCUCAUUUAAGAUAUGAAGUGUCCCUGAAGCAUUUGAAAAAUCUGUCUUCAUCUUAUUAUCUAGAAAUAAUUAAGUAUUGUAUCUGAUUCUUGGUUUCCACGCAAUCAAAUGACACUUUUGGUGUUUCUAAGUCUGGAUUUCAUAAACAACAAUGGAAAAAAACACACAAGCACACUUUUAUUGCAUUGUGAACUUGUGAAACAGUUUGUUUAGGGACUUUUCUGUGUCUAGGCAGCCUACAAUACAACAACAAGCUGUUGCUGAUUCCCCCAGGGUUUUUAUUCCAAAGUGUCUUUCCCAGCAGUUUUUUUUUUUUUUUUGCUCAGGCUUCUAUCCGACACUAUUGAUGUACCAGUGGGCACAAUGGGGAAUAAAGGUGGCUUCAGUGCAGUCCAUUGCCUCUCUCCCUUCUCACAGCGGAGUAAAGUGCUGAUCAUUGGGUUGGAAAGACCUUGCGUAGGCUGAUUCUAACAAAGCCAAUGCUGGCCAAAGCCAUAGACACAUGAAAGACUAGGGGUUAAGCCUGGACAGAUCAAUUUCUCUCAGCAACUCUCCGUGUCCCUGGCACUAAACAGGCAGAGCCUACAAUGGCUUGUUUUCUGUGGCAUAGAGCUGUGCCAUUCUCCUCACUGAUCCACUUUACAAAAGCCUAUUACAGAGGUGCCAAUUGAGCUUGAACAAUCACCCACAAAAGCUGUUAUUUACAUAGAUUCUGUCCCCAGGCUCAACCCCUCUGCCCCCCGAAAAAUUGUCCAGUGGUGGACUAGUUGAGCUCUUCUCACUGUCUGAGAACACUUUUGGGUCCAAUUGCAGAAGUGAGAUCACUGAGCCGUAAAUACAUGGAAGCCUUUGUAGAUUUCUGUUUUUGUUCACCUCUGAUCACGCCGUCCAGGCCUGAGUGCCCAUCUGGAGGCCACAUGGUCCAUCAACCCAGUCUCCUAAACCCAGUCAAGAGGAGAAUUCUCUGUAUAGGAGUUCUAUUUCCAGGGCAUGCCAAUGUCAUGGCCUCUAGGAUCUUGUGACCGUGGUGUCUGGAAUAGUGAACACUGACUGUUAAUAUGCCAAAGUUAAAAUCUGACUUCAUGUGUAUCAGUGCUGACAUAAUUUAUAUUUGCUUGUGUUUUGUUUAUUAAAUUUGAUGGGAAGUCUAGAGUUUUGUGGGUUUUAGGGGGGCUGAGAGGAUUGGGGUCAGCUUUGUGUUUUAAUGUGCACGUAAUUAUGACUAGGUUAAAUUUCUGCUCGGCUCAGCAAAUUUAGAUCCUCUCAGAGGGCAAAGGCCAGUGUGUGUUAUGAGUGUAGUGGGUCUCCUCGAGUGACAGCACAGCUGGAGCAUACAAACACACACACAUACACAAGUACACACACAUAGAGAAAAAAAUAACCCACAGUACUCCCGUUUGCUCAUGGUAAUUAUAUAUUAUGUAACUGAUAUGUCUCUGUUGUGGCACGAAGCCGGUUAACUGGAGCUGUCAUUGUUUUUUAAUUUUUAAUAAGAUAAAACAUUGGCUAAUUCUACAUCCUUUGAGGCAAAAUUUAUAUGACGUUGUUUAGCCAGUAAAGUGAAGGUUUGCACAAGCACACUGAUAAGAAAAAAUAACAAACAUCUUUGCACACACUAUUGAGACAAGAAAAUAUCGCUUACACUGCUAUGUCAAAGUCCUGUUCCUGAUUCAGCAACUACUAGUGCUGCAUUUAGGACAAAUUCAUAAAUGUCAACAAAAUGCCUACAACACUGAGGAAGUAUUUUAUGGAUGAAUACAUGUAACUGCUCUAGAUCUAAAUCUUAAGUGUAUGUUUGAGUGCACCAUGAAGUCACCGUUUUCCCAUGUGAUACAGUUCAAAACAUAUUGACUUUAAAACUUGACAUAUGAAACCAGGUCUGAAUACUCUGUGAAAAACUUACCAGGAACUCCCUGGUAAGACCUUGCUGCUCUGCAAACAUUAUUAGUUGACAUAAUCAUGAAGUGGUAAUACAACUAAAUAUCUAACUAAAACAUUAAGUUCAAAGGGAGUGCUGCAUUCUAGCCUGAGAACAUACUUUGCGUUUGUUGUUUGAACUGAAUUUCUGAAUAUGGGAAUCAUAAAGAAUUAAAUGAUUCUGAAUGUGGUUCCAUUUCCUUAUCAGUUCCGUUAAUUUUUCUUUUUGUAAGGAACAUUUGGAGUAAAUGCAAGUCCAUUAUCAAAUGAUCUGCUGACAAAAUACAUAACGUGUUUCUUUAGAAUGACCAGUCAGUAUAGUUACAGUCUGAUUCACUAAAGAACAGACUCAUUCAAGUGAGUUGGUUUUAAUAAAACAAACCAAAAAGAACCUCUUCAUAAGAGUUAAUAGUUCAGGAAUGGCCAUAUUGAAUUUUGCCACUAUCCUGACUAUAAGGUCCGUUUGUUAUGGUAUUUCAUUGCCAAUGGCAGAAGAGUGUAAGAGAUCAACAUUGACACCUCAUGGUUUGAAAAUACAACAACUUAUGGUGAUUUGUAACUGUUUUAUGUUUUGGUGACUGAUUUGUAUGAAUUCUUACAAUCUAAUUUGUGGGUUUUUGUACAAUCUGCUGACUGAAAAUUCAGUUUAGAGGAGGACUUUCCUGCUCUCAUGAGGUUGGGUUGGAAAAUUCCAAGUAGCAUACCAGAGAUCCAAUUGAGCAUGGGAUCUGAUUAUAAAAUACACCACACCUGUAUUUUUUUAAAUGCAACCGGUUCUAAAUAAGAACCAAUUUUCGGUUGCCAAUCUUUACUGUGAAAAUUCUUUGAACUGUUAUAUCACACAUACAUACACGUCUAUAUAUGUGGUUAGAUCAUGAUCAAGUCCCAGUAAUUUUAGUCACUUAAAGUGCUUUACAUUGUGAGGGGGGAUCUCCUCAUCCACCACCAUUGUGCAGCAUCCACCUGGAUCAUGCGACGGCAGCCAUAGUGCGCCAGAAGGCCCACCACACAACAGCUUAUUGGUGGAGAGAGACAGAGUGAUGAAG
Long non-coding RNA from Cyprinus carpio carpio, 3008 nucleotides. The record is from Ensembl. Lineage: Eukaryota; Metazoa; Chordata; Actinopteri; Cypriniformes; Cyprinidae.